AGCCAGGGGGGCAAGACGGAAAGAAAGAAAAUAAAGCGAGGCCGAGGGCAGAGAAUGGGAAAAAGAAAGAGAGAGGGAGAGAGAGAUACGAAGAGAAAGGAGGUAGAUGGACUAAACGAAGCUAGAGGAAGAAUAUCCUGUAUUUCUCCAAGAAUCAAUUCACGUAUACAACAAACAUCUCCACCAUAUCUGUCGUUUAUUACUCAUCCAGACGAGAUACAUAACCGCAUGCGUGACCAUUCCCAUACGUAGUCUCUCCGACUGCAAAUAAUAUCUAAAAAUUCAUGCAAAUGAAAAAAGAAGAAGGGUAGGAAUGAUGAAAAAUUCUGUAGCAGAGAUUGAAUUUCACUCGAAA
This 355-nucleotide unclassified non-coding RNA is filed under the name Bombus terrestris (buff-tailed bumblebee). RNAcentral's name for it is "misc RNA ENSBTSG00005020980.1". The record is from RNAcentral. Lineage: Eukaryota; Metazoa; Arthropoda; Insecta; Hymenoptera; Apidae.